Molecule: ribosomal RNA, 459 nt
Filed under: uncultured bacterium
Lineage: Bacteria
Description: SSU rRNA
Rfam family: Bacterial small subunit ribosomal RNA
Source: RNAcentral
AGAAUCAACGCUGGCGGCGUGCCUAACACAUGCAAGUCGAACGAGAAAGUGGGAGCAAUCCCACGAGUAAAGUGGCGCACGGGUGAGUAACACGUGACUAACCUACCCUUGAGUGGGGGAUAACCUAGGGAAACCUGGGCUAAUACCGCAUAAUACCUACGGGUCAAAGGAGCAAUUCGCUUAAGGAGGGGGUCGCGGCAGAUUAGUUAGUUGGCGGGGUAAUGGCCCACCAAGACAGUGAUCUGUAUCCGGCCUGAGAGGGCGCACGGACACACUGGAACUGAAACACGGUCCAGACUCCUACGGGAGGCAGCAGUGGGAAUUUUGCGCAAUGGGGGAAACCCUGACGCAGCAACGCCGCGUGGAGGAUGAAGCCCCUUGGGGCGUAAACUCCUUUCGAUCGGGAAGAUAAUGACGGUACGGAAGAAGAAGCCCGGCUAACUUCGCGCCAGCAGCCGC